Molecule: long non-coding RNA, 648 nt
Filed under: Gallus gallus (chicken)
Lineage: Eukaryota; Metazoa; Chordata; Aves; Galliformes; Phasianidae
Description: lncRNA (ENSGALG00010025663.1)
Source: RNAcentral
CUGCUAACAGCUUCACUCUGUCAACCUACUGUAAAACGUUAAGGCUCUGCAUUACAUAUCCUUAAUCAUUCUUUCUUCACACAAAAGAAUCUGAUUUUUCACAUCAAGCUUGAUGAAAAAGCUACCAGUUGGUUAUGCAAGUUCAGCACAUGGAACAGAUGCCAAGAAUUGCUGGCAGAACAUUACUGACUGAGAAAGCGAGAGACCUUUUGGAAAUUUCUAAAGCUAAUCUGUUAUCCCAGUUUUGCCCACUGACUCUUCCCCUUUGUUGGAUAUCACAAGCUUGAGUCUGGAUUCAUCUUUUCAUCCUCCCGUCAGGGUCAAAGCAUUGUCAACAUGAUCUUUAACCACGACCUGAGCUGAGUUAAACUCUUAGGAUAUGACAUCUCAGCCACGUUGCAAGAUCUCGGAGUCCAACAAGUUUCUUAGAUGCAACUCCCACUGGCAGGCUAAUGAACCAUUUUCCUAAUAAUAUAGAUGAAUUGGUCAUGAGCCUCCCACUUCACGCUGAGUACUUUUUGCAGGAGUUUAAAGCGUUUUUUAUUCCAGUCAUAACAACUCAUGUUUUUUCUUUUCUGCAAAUCGAAGUUGCUACCAGCUAUUAUUUUGGUUUUGUUUUAAAGUAAGCCGAUAUACAUUUCUUUCAAG